UACGUAGGUGACAAGCGUUGUCCGGAUUUACUGGGUGUAAAGGGCGCGCAGGCGGGAUAGCAAGUCAGGAGUGAAAUGCCGAGGCUCAACCUCGGAGCUGCUCUUGAAACUGUUAUUCUUGAGUAUCGGAGAGGAAAGCGGAAUUCCCAGUGUAGCGGUGAAAUGCGUAGAUAUUGGGAGGAACACCGGUGGCGAAGGCGGCUUUCUGGACGACAACUGACGCUGAGGCGCGAAAGUGUGGGGAG
RNAcentral lists this ribosomal RNA (245 nucleotides) under uncultured Eubacteriales bacterium. Its description in RNAcentral is "uncultured Clostridiales bacterium partial 16S ribosomal RNA". It matches the Rfam family "Bacterial small subunit ribosomal RNA", at positions 524 to 768 of the family's 1533-position model. Lineage: Bacteria; Bacillati; Bacillota; Clostridia; Eubacteriales. The record is from RNAcentral.